This is a long non-coding RNA of Sphaerodactylus townsendi, 1629 nucleotides long. RefSeq lists it as uncharacterized. The transcript is spliced from 2 exons. The record is from RefSeq and is a predicted model, not a curated record. Lineage: Eukaryota; Metazoa; Chordata; Lepidosauria; Squamata; Sphaerodactylidae.
CUCACAGGGUGUUUGUUUUGAGGGGGGAAGGGCAAGGAGAUUGUAAAUCCCUUUGAGUCUCCUGCAGGAGAGAAAGGGGGUAUAUAAAUGCAAACUCUUCUUUUUCUUCUUCUUUGUUCGAGUAACUGCCGGACAAGUAUGCAACAGUGGUCUCUAGUGCUGUAUUCAUGGAACCCACUGUCCCUGCUAGUUGGUUUUCUGGUGCCCUUUGGCUGCUUCUAUAAAUCACGGCUUCCCCAAAACAAGGAGCCAGCCCUAGCUUUCCUGCAACCUACAAGUCAUCACCUUUUGAGUCUGCUGGGCUUAGGAGUUAUUGAUGUCAGGGUGGGGUGUGGAGUCUUCCCAUAAUUACAACUGACCUUCACACUACGAAGAUCAGUUCCGCUGGAGUAAAUGACCAGUUUAGAGGGCACCCUUUUUGGCACCCCCUCCUGCUGAGCUCCUAUCUUCUCCAGGCACUGCCCACAAAUCUCUAGGAAUUGCCCAAGCUGAUGUUGGCAAUUCUAGCAAGGACUUCUCAUUUAUAAACAGCUGCCUUAAUCAUGAGAGGGAUGCUUGGCUUGCAACCUCCUAACAUGUAGUGAUUUGCCUCAGUACCCCACAUGGUAGCAAUUUGGCAGUGCUUACCUUCUGCUGUCAAAUUUUAAUGUGUCCAGUGCUGAACCAGACUGUGGAUCUCUGAUUUAUAGUGUAAGGAAAAGGCACACCAUAUUUAAAAGGACAGAAUUUGUCAUCCAGUCUAGACACUGUUCCAUAGUUAAGGCCAAAAAGCAUUCCCUAUACCUCCCCAGCUGCAGACAGUACUACAGUAGCUACAGGUUUUAUUGUUAAAUUGUGCAGUUUUGCUCUUCAAUUUAGAUUUUUAUAACACAUGGUUUAAUGCAUCUGUUUCAUGUGUACCAAUUUUUUGAUGUUACGAAUUGUGAGCAAAUGAAACUGUGUUACGGGAAAAAUUCUUCAGUCUGUGCUGAGGAAGGAAUUUCUUAAAUGUAAGUAUUCUGAAAUCUUAUUAAGUGUGCAGAUGGUCAUAUUAAACCAUUAACAGAGCAAUGGGUUCAAAAUAUUUUUUCCAGUCAAACUUGGAUUCAGAAAUAGCAAAUGACAUAAUGAUUUCCCUGUAAGUUCUACCUUCAUGAGUACAGAAAAGGGAAAUUACCCUUGAGCCAGAGGAGUUGUGUACACUGUUGAAAUGGUAUAGGUGCUGCUUGUCCCAAUCACCUUUGGAGAUGGGGCUGAAUCCAGAUACCUUCCCACCCCCAGUGACUGACCUUUUUCGAAGGUGGAGAAAAAUUCCAUGCGCAUACUUUCCCAGUAGGACCAAAAUGUAUGCCUGACUGGAACAUACUUUUAUAUGAAUUCAAUAGGCAUUUACUUGUGAAAUAUGACGAUUGGUGUUGUUGGUAGUAACUGUUUAAUUUAAAUUAUGUUUUCCCCUUUCACUUGUACCUUAGAGCCUAAUGUUAUUUUGAAAAACUGGUCACAGUUUGCGGCAAUUUAAAAUUGGAUAAAUUACAAAUAUAAUUCUUGAAUCAUCUUGCACUAUUGACUAAUUUUUCUGUAAUAUGGAUAUCAGCUAUUAUUCUACAUGCACUUUGUUAUUCUUUAUAAAAUAAAAAAAGAUUUUAUCUA